UGUAAAAGACGAGGAUUUUAGUUUGACUCCGUCCGACCGACUAGGUUUCCUACAAUCAAUUCUAAACCAGCUCCCCAAUUCUCAGGAAAGCAGAAGUAACUAUAAAAACUUUAAAGAAAGUGAAAAACUUGUGAAAAUGAUGCGAACGAGGUUUUUGUGGUUUGGUGUAGGUUUCUGGAGCAAUUGCACAAUUUGUGGUUAAGGAUUUGUGGACGGACCGCACCUCCCUUUUUGACCAGUUGACAGAAAAGUUCAAUUCCUUGGAUACGCGACUGUCUAAUCUGGAGUCUCUGAUUUCCAAUAAACCUACUUCCCCUCAGGAUGAAGGAAAUCUUGAAUGAAGAUUCUGGUUUCUUGCUGCAUGAUCAUACUCAUGUUCUAGUUUCUUCUCUUCCUUUUGAAGAUUGGACAAGCAAUAAAUACGCAUUUGCAUUACUUUUUUCAUCAGGAAGAUCGUUUGGUAUGAGGCAAAACUUUUUGCGGCUACUCAUAGUCGUACUCACUUUGUCACAUACAUUGCGCUCGCAAUGUCAUUUACUUUGUUAUUUGGAUCAUUCUCGAGUCCUCAGGAGAUGGGCUACCCACUCAAAAUAACAUUAGAGUCAAGAAAACAUGUGAUAUUCAAUGCUGCAUAAUAUGGUUAUUGUGCCAACUGCCGAGGAUCUGAAUACGAUCAUUGAGAACAAAUUAAUUUAACUAUUUUGACUGAAAUUGCUACAUAUUUCAAAAGUGCAACUAUGUGCUACAGAGUGUAAGUGCAACUUUCCCAUCUCCGAGACAUUGUCAUUCACAUGAUCUGAAUAAUUGCAUUCCACCGGCUGGCCAUACAAGGAGUUUGCCAGAGGCCAUUCUGCAAUUAUAGGAGCAGUACUUACACUUCAAGGAGCAUACACGAAUUAGCCAAAAGAAGAGGAUGUAAAUGGUACUGCUCAUAACACGAUGCUUUGUUGGUGCGAUUACUGCUCCUCUUGAGGCAACCAACUCUUACUAAAAGAAGUAUUCCAUAUCCUAGACCGCAUAGGAGCCAUAUUUGUGCAACAGCAUACCCAGGUAUGCCUGUAAAUACUGUUGACUGCACUAGAGAACAAAUACCAUAGAAUGCUGUCGGUUUUUAUUUUUUGUUAAAAUGGAAGGGGCGAGAGCAAUACAUUAAAAGGUCAUUUGUAACAUUAUAUCCUCCUCUGUAUUUCUUUAAUAAAUUUAAAGGCUCUAACACUUAACAGUUGAGGUCAUGUUUGAUCCUGUUAAAACUCGCCGUGAAAAAGGUUGAAAUCCUUCUGAUCAUAUUUCCUUCAGCUAAUCUAUGCACUAAAGGUACAGAGCUUUCAAAGUUUAUAAUCAGAGGUUGAAAGAUUCUAAAGUAGAGAAUCAAAGGAAGAGAUUAAUUACCUUCUUCAGAACUGGUACAAGGCAAGCAUCCUAUGAAUCACAUGCUUUGCCAUCCUUGUUCCACGAAAGGUUCCUAUUUCUUCUGUCAAUAAUAGUUAUUAUUGAUUUUCUAUUUAUUUUUGUUAGUUGUUUGGAUUAGAAAUUAAAGGAUUCUUGCCUCGCCAAUUUAGAGCAUGAGAAAUAUAGCAAUGCUAAACCAUACGGCUUACACUACGUAUGUCGUAUUAUGCUCAGGUUUGUCCAUGUGCAGACACAUCACGCUUCUGUUAUGUGCAGUUAUUACUCAAGGAAGUAAAUUUUGGGGAUAAGCUAACUGGAUCUUGGCCGUUUACUGUGUGGUAGGAGGACUGGGUGUUGAAAGGAUUAGAUGCUCAUGCAUGCCUUUUAUCAUUUUUGUCGAUGCAUCUCUAGACACCGGUUUUAAUAAAUGUAAAAGAAAGUGGAUUAAAAAAUAUAUUUGUGAAAUGUGUGUCCUACUUUUAUAUAUUA
This is a long non-coding RNA of Salvia splendens (bonfire salvia), 1878 nucleotides long. RefSeq lists it as uncharacterized. The record is from RefSeq and is a predicted model, not a curated record. Lineage: Eukaryota; Viridiplantae; Streptophyta; Magnoliopsida; Lamiales; Lamiaceae. The transcript has 4 exons.